Molecule: long non-coding RNA, 501 nt
Filed under: Actinidia chinensis (golden kiwifruit)
Lineage: Eukaryota; Viridiplantae; Streptophyta; Magnoliopsida; Ericales; Actinidiaceae
Description: long non-coding RNA (ACHI_LNC006113)
Source: RNAcentral
AUUUUAGCUGCUUGAGUGUGCGGCCAACAUGUUAAUAUUUCAAGGCGAUUGGACAAUGUUUAAUUGUUGAUUAUCAUCUAAUGGGUUCAUUAUCGCUACCAAUCAUCACCUUAUGUAACACGUUUUUCUAACAUGUCGAAAAACAUAAGAAUUGAUGGUUUCCACUCUUAAAAACUCAUUAGUUUAGGCUAAUUAACCUUAAUUUUUAAAAUGGGAACACAAGUGUUGCCACAUUGAAUAAAUCUUAGAUUGUGGCAGCCAUUGAAUCAUGCAGAAGCUCCAAAUCAGCUAUUGAAUACACCAAAUAAUCAUUUACUAACCCACUAAGUCAUAACCCAAUUCAUUCACAAUAUCCCUUUACAUAUACAUAGAGAUAUAUAUACAUAUAUUAACAUAAUUCUAAUCCCCAAACAAAGCAGUUCAUAUCAACCCAAAAAUAACAAUUGAAUAAAAAAAAAUCAAAGCUUUAUUUCACAAUCAAAGAAUUAAUAUUAAACCUCA